This 91-nucleotide microRNA precursor is filed under the name Belgica antarctica. RNAcentral's name for it is "microRNA mir-283". The record is from RNAcentral. Lineage: Eukaryota; Metazoa; Arthropoda; Insecta; Diptera; Chironomidae.
CGGCUGAAUUUUUCAGCUAAAAUUCAGCUGAAAUUCAGCUGAACGUAAAGUUUUCAGCUGAAUUUCAGCUGAAUUUCAGCUGAAUUUAUUU